CCUAUCAGACCCUAUAGCUCUGUUUUCUUUACAAAGUCAAGUCAAAGUUUCAAAGUUCGCAUUGGCUUCUAUUGUUCUGUGUGGAGGAAGCAAACUCAAGACACUCGGUGGCUACCAUAUACAGAACUUGGGUCGCCUAACCCUUUCACGUAAACAACGGCUCAACCGAUAUACCGGUGAAAGAUGAAAGGACACAUGAAAGCCCUGCUCCUGUUAAUCGUGUUGGUUGCCAUGGUGCCUGACGGUGCUGUUGGACGCUGCCCGCCACACUGCGGGUACCCUUGCCCGCCAUUCUGCGGCUUUAAACCGGCUGCUCCAGAGCGCAAACCGCGAGACCUGCCAGCAGAUGGAGCCUCGACCGAGAUUGUGCAUGAGGCAAACGAAAACGAGGCCCCACACCAUCCUCUUAUCUGACCAUGACGUGGAUACAGCACAU
Branchiostoma floridae (Florida lancelet) is the source of this 436-nucleotide long non-coding RNA. RefSeq lists it as uncharacterized. The record is from RefSeq and is a predicted model, not a curated record. The transcript has 3 exons. NCBI's taxonomy places the organism in Eukaryota, Metazoa, Chordata, Leptocardii, Amphioxiformes, Branchiostomatidae.